This 425-nucleotide unclassified non-coding RNA is filed under the name Ruta graveolens (common rue). RNAcentral describes it as "contains 5' external transcribed spacer, ETS". The record is from RNAcentral. Lineage: Eukaryota; Viridiplantae; Streptophyta; Magnoliopsida; Sapindales; Rutaceae.
UGGAUGGAGUGGGUUGGCAGGCUCCGUGCUCGCGCAUCGAACUGUCGACCUUCUGUCCGCUUCAGUCUAUCCCCAAGUGCUUGCGACUUGUGGGUGCUUUAGAUAUCCUGUGUUGCCUACCCACAAAAGGGAAUUCGAUGGUCUUGUUGUCUCGGUUCGCCUUGUGCCCCUUGGGGCGCUGGGUGGACGUGCGGCGUGCCCCGUGUUCCCGGCAUGCUAGAUGCGAUUGUUCUUUGCUGCUGUGGCCCAUGGGGUCUUCGCCCGUUCUCUCGGAUGUGGAAUGCAAAGCGUGGACGUGAGGUCUUGGCCUCGUCUCGUCCAAGCCAACGCACUGUCCUCGGACAGACUCGGACGACUGCUGUGCUCGUCUUGGCCGGCCUCUUGGGGCUGGUCAUGCGGGUGUCGGCGUCGCAAAGGAAUGCUAC